Molecule: ribosomal RNA, 253 nt
Filed under: uncultured bacterium
Lineage: Bacteria
Description: partial 16S ribosomal RNA
Rfam family: Bacterial small subunit ribosomal RNA
Source: RNAcentral
UACGUAGGGUGCGAGCGUUAAUCGGAAUUACUGGGCGUAAAGCGUGCGCAGGCGGUUUUGUAAGUCAGAUGUGAAAUCCCCGGGCUCAACCUGGGAACUGCGUUUGAAACUACAAGGCUAGAGUGUAGCAGAGGGGGGUAGAAUUCCACGUGUAGCAGUGAAAUGCGUAGAGAUGUGGAGGAAUACCAGAGGCGAAGGCGGCUACCUGGACAAUUGCUGACGCUCAGGCACGAAAGCGUGGGGAGCAAACAGG